Esox lucius (northern pike) is the source of this 1185-nucleotide long non-coding RNA. NCBI's taxonomy places the organism in Eukaryota, Metazoa, Chordata, Actinopteri, Esociformes, Esocidae. The record is from Ensembl.
GAUUUGAUCAUUUUAGGGUGUGUCUCGAAGUUGAUGCGUUUAUUAAAGAUGCGUUCCGCGACUUCUCACGAUGAGUAAAUUAUUUUAAACAUCCCAUUUAUGCGUGGUUGUUAUGUUGUUCAUACCUUCACAAUCUAAGUAGAAUGGUAUUUUACCUUAGUUUGCCAUGAAAUUCCAAAGCGAGAGAUUUCGCGUGCCGCCAUUUUGCUACGUAGGCAAAAAGCGUACUCACCGUGAAUUUCCUUAUGGCUUGUUCACAUUGCAACGUGCGUAAUCGCGGUUGGGAUUGUGUUCUUGGGGUUGUAAUCAUCCUUCCUCCAAACACAGCGAGUGGAAUUUAGACCAAAAAGCUAGAUUUUUGUCUCAUCAGACCACAUGGCCUCUGGAUCAUCCAGAUGGUCAUUGGCAAACUUCAGACUGGCCUGGACAUGCGCUGGCUUUAACAGGGGGACCUUGCGUGUGCCGCUGUAUAGUUCUGGGCUGAUCCCUCACCUUCCUCAUGAUCAUUGAUGCCCCACGAGGUGAGAUCUUGCAUGGAGCCCCAGACCGAGGGAGAUUGACCGUCAUCUUGAACUUCUUCCAUUUUCUAAUAAUUGCGCCAACAGUUAUUGCCUUCUCACUAAGCUGCUUGCCUUCUGUCCUGUAGCCCAUCCCAGCCUUGAGUAGGUCUACAAUUUUAUCCCUGAUGUCCUUACACAGCUCUCUGGUCUUGGCCAUUGUGGAGAGGUGGGGGUCUGUUUGAUUGAGUGUGUGGACAGGUGUUUUUUAUACAGGUUCAAACAGGUGCAGUUAAUACAGGUAAUGAGUGGAGAACUGGAGGGCUUCUUAACAGGUGUGUGAGAGCCGGAAUUCUUACUGGUUGAUUCCGUCUCUCACAGUUGAAGUGUACCUAUGAUAUACAUUACAGACCUCUACAUAAUUUGUAAGUAGGAAAACCUGCAAAAUUGGCAGUGUAUGAAAUACUUGUUCUCCCCACUGUAUGUACUACAAAGCCUAAUAGAAUUCCUGAAGUUCAGUUAUGGAUUUUGGUUUUAGUGUGCCAACCUAAGAUUUUUAGUGGCGCCAUCUAGCCACCCCUACGAAACAUUUCUGGGGUCUCCGCACCGAGCCACUACUCUCUGCUGGUUUGAUUACCGUUAUGCAGGAAACAUUAGAUUUGGCUGCAACAACAGGACUUCCGGUAUU